RNAcentral lists this ribosomal RNA (253 nucleotides) under uncultured bacterium. Its description in RNAcentral is "partial 16S ribosomal RNA". It matches the Rfam family "Bacterial small subunit ribosomal RNA", at positions 524 to 776 of the family's 1533-position model. The record is from RNAcentral.
UACGUAGGUGGCAAGCGUUGUUCGGAAUUACUGGGCGUAAAGGGCUCGUAGGCGGCCAACUAAGUCAGACGUGAAAUCCCUCGGCUUAACCGGGGAACUGCGUCUGAUACUGGAAGGCUUGAAUCCGGGAGAGGGAUGUGGAAUUCCAGGUGUAGCGGUGAAAUGCGUAGAUAUCAGGAGGAACACCAAUUGCGAAGGCAGCUCGCUGGGACGUUACUGACGCUGAGACGCGAAAGCGUGGGGAGCAAACAGG